This 19-nucleotide small nuclear RNA is filed under the name Arabidopsis thaliana (thale cress). RNAcentral's name for it is "snRNA_14077". Lineage: Eukaryota; Viridiplantae; Streptophyta; Magnoliopsida; Brassicales; Brassicaceae. The record is from RNAcentral.
GUGCUCACCACAUGGCUGC